This is a long non-coding RNA of Acipenser ruthenus (sterlet), 6347 nucleotides long. RefSeq lists it as uncharacterized. The record is from RefSeq and is a predicted model, not a curated record. Lineage: Eukaryota; Metazoa; Chordata; Actinopteri; Acipenseriformes; Acipenseridae. The transcript is spliced from 17 exons.
CAAUAUUUAAAACAUUGCGUUGCAAAAGUUGAUUAAAUAAAACGUGCAUACACAUUUAAAACGAAUUAGUCUGUCGGCAAAAUAAUAAGCACUGUAAAAAGCACGAUAAUAAGAAAAGAAGGCGGUUGUUCUUAGGUGGAUGUUUUCCUGCCGGAGCAAAAAGACGUGAGACACACACAUCGGAAGUCGUUGUUGCAGCAUGCCUGACGCCAUCUCCAUGGAAACCAGUAGACAACUCAACUUCGUACGACGAGAGCGUUGCAUAAGAAAAGGCUCAGCUCACCGCUGCCACCCCCGCAGGGAGGGCGAAGACGAGCACACGCUGUUCUCCGAAGCGUGUGCCGUCAGCCGACCGCGUUUUUUCACACUGCAGACUCACCGUGCAGCCACCUCAGAGCUACAGCGUCGGAGGACAACGCAGCUUACAGUGGGAGAAACAAUGUGAUUACCAUUUCCAAGUGUUGUAUAAUGGAGUGAUAUAAGAAAAAGUGGAGGGCAAGAAAUGAUAGCAGAGGGGCUGGUUUUACAGUAUCCUUCAAAAGGCAUGGCAAGUAAGAGAAGAUCAGCAGGUGCCAGCUCUAUUGGCAGCAGGUCGAGCAGCACAUCAUACAAUGGCUCUAUGCACUCUCGACAAAGCUGUUUAGAAGACCUGUUAGUGCAACAGUACCAUGACAAGUUGAGCAAAACCUCCCAGUCACCACAGUAUCAGCUUCCCAGACCAUCUGUCAUUGAGCAAGGAGGAAAAUUGGAUGGUGAAUGGCGUGGCACUCCCUGCUGAUGCAAAGCGUGGCACGACCAAGCCCAGCCUCUCGCUGCACGUGAGGAAGCUGAGUGACAACACUACAGUCAGGAUUCUGGUUUUUCAGAAUGGAGCAGGGCUGGAUGGGUGUGAGGUCAUUGCAGCAGUGGAUCAAACGGAGAAGUUUCUAGGUCUUUGUAAGGUUAAACCUUACCUCCGCAGCAGUGAAUAUAUAACUGGGAUGGAAAAUGAACAGAACAUCUCAGCCGCAUAAAAAUUUCCAUUGCUUGACAGCUGUCUGCAGAAUUCCAUUACUCCAUUGCAAGGACCUGCCUGGGUCUCUAAGGAAGAAGAAAACUGUACAUCCAAGGAGUCCUGGGGGCCUUUCAUCAAAAGCUGAAGUCUGCCAACGAGUAUAGUAAACAGUUGGAUUAUGCCCUUGAUAAUAACACUGAGAUAGUCACAAAGAAGGAAAUACUCUCAAUGACAAUGGAAGAGCUGUAUAACAACAAAGAAGAGGUGAACCAGCUGAUUGAUGAAUUGCGAGCUGCCAUCAAAAAGCACAAGGGUCAGCUCUCCAAACUCGCUCUGCAAUUACAGGCUGAGGAGGAUCAGUGCGCCGGCUAUGUGUACCAGCACAUUAAACAGCUUUCAACAAGGAGCAGAGAUCCACAGGGCCUGCAGCUAAAAGAGAAGGUGAAAACCUGUUGAAAAGACUGAUGGGGACUUCCUAGUGACGCGCAUCCAGUAAAGGCGCUCCGCGUGGAGUGCAUGAUGCGCACUAUAGCCUGGAUUUCGCAGGUAUAUGAAAAUGGGCAGGACACUGAGGAGACCGUUGUUUACAUCAACAGGAAGUUAAAGGGUUGCGGAAAGGAUGUCAAACUUAUGAUGGAUAGAUUACUGCAAAUGGUUGGUCAGAGACUGCAGUCUUCCCAAAUGUAUAACCCUUCUGGUCCUAAUUUCAAGGACAAGGACUAUGCAACUCACUUUCCCGUCAAAAUGAGCUAAAGGUUUGGGUGUCAUAUUGAGAAGACUACCGGUAAGGAUUGUAUUUGAUAUCUCUGCGACUCUCCUCGCUCACAGCUUUCGACACGCUAAUGAAGAGCCUAGCAUAAUCCUAACAUUGCCCCCAAGUACGACACAGCAACUGUUUUUAUUACAUCGCUGGAAAUGUUCAGGAGGUCUCGUUUGAGGCAGUCGUUGACAUCUCUGCCUUUCUCUUGUAAUGUCUUCUCAUCGUUCCUGAUGCCUGCCUGUCAGCACAGCAAGCAGGAUUUUUUCAUGUCUGAAUAGCCACCUUAAUGAUGGCAGAUGGAAGCACCACAGGGGGCUGAAGCCCAUCACACUGUCAUUGUUGUGGGCCGCCCUGACCCGCUACUGUGAUUCCAUCUCAUUUAUGUCGUCCUUUUUUUAUACUUAAGGCAAAGUGAACAGUAAUUGAAAAGUAUGAACCACAGAUCUAGUACUGGGUCCUACUUUUGUGACUGUUGUUACACAGAGUACACUAACCAGUGACAGAAAAUAUAAAGCUAUACAUCAUUUUAAUGGUCGGUUUCCUUUAAUUCAAGUCCAUGCCGUAGAUUUAAAUGUUGUCAAUGACAAUAGUUUCUUUUCAUCUACCAUUUAUAAAGACUGACUCCUAGACUGGAAUGAAUUGAUUGAGCUAAUAUGCCAUAACAGUUCAUUAGCUUAUAUGUUAAAUGCAUUAUUACAAUUAAGAAAAUAGGCAACAAUGCAGUGAAAUGUGUCCAGUACAGUAUGUCUUUUUAGGGGCUGAUAGAUUAUGAGAUGUGCAGUAUGUACUCCAUGGAAAUAGGUAUCAUACAUGUUGAAUAAUAAUAAUAAUAAUAAUAAUAAUAAUAAUAAUAAUAAUAAUAAUAAUACAUUCCGAGUAAAAUUAAAACAAUCAGAACAGGAAUCCAAGCUAAAUACCUUAACUUGUUCUUCUGCUAGAAGUUCUUAGGAAAUUGUUUGUGUGUUGCUGACAGUAAGGGCAAUGCAGACCAAGUACAGAACUGAUAAGAGCAUUGUCUGACUUUCCCACACUGCUUUUGUUGGUGCUGCUCAGCUCUGACCUGGGCGGAUCAUUCUCUGCAGGGGCUGAGAGGGGAGUCUAGUGACUAGUCUCCAUGUUUAUUCAAUCCAGAGCCCUCCAAAAUGGUGCCAGAUGGAAUGGUGGCUUUGUGAUGCGGCCCAGAAUGCACUGCUGACCACUUACAGCUCAAUCUGGAUAUAAGCUUCGCUGUACAGAAACGAAACACAAGGCUUUACACCAUGGUGCUGCCUAAUCCCUGUAAAAGUCAUUGUGAACUGAUGGUUAAGCAAGUAUGCUGUGGCCUCAGUUCAGCAGGUUAAACCUAGCUCUUAGUGGACAGUGAUCCACAUCAAAAGACCACAUCACAAUUCAGCACAAUUCAUGAGUUUGAUCAAAGGCAAAGAUAGCCGUGACAAGAGAAGAAUGCCUGGAAUAUAAAAUGAAGAUUAGUUAAGGUUUUACAGUGCAGAAGUUAAGGUUGUGUAGAUCAUGUGCUUCCAAUUAAAUACAGAUAUUGAUCUGUACUGGUUGCGGUUUUUUUUUCUCAAUAAUUUGUUUGUCAAGACAACUGCAAUAAAAAGAAAAAGGCGGUUUCUGAGUACAUCUGAAGGUUCACAUUCACAUCUAUGUUCAUUAAUUGUAGCCUUGAAAGCUUUUUAAAACAUAUACAUUGUGCAAAUGAAUACGGUUGUCAUUUUGCUGAAGUAUUAUUUUUAAUAUUAGUUUCUAUGUAUUGUGUUUAUGUAUUGUAACAUAAUUUAAAACAUCUGUUAACUCUUAAAAAGAUGUCAAGUUAAAGAAAUGAAGACUUUGUAAAAUACCUACAACUAGUUCACGUUUGUAUGUACUGUUUGGUUAAUAUCUACAGCACUGAAUAGUAAUAAUAAUAAUAAUAAUAAUAAUAAUAAUAAUAAUAAUAAUAGCACUCUUUAUAGAAACAGCAUUGUUUCAGUUGAAAUAAAAGAUUGAAUAUAUCACUCCAUUUACUUCAUGCUAUUCCAUUUACUAGCAGCCAUUACAUAUUUUAAACUACUGUGUGAGUGGGUUUAAGAGGCUAUUGCUCAGAGAUAGGAUUAUACAACCUAAUUAGAGGAGCAUGUUUACUGUCUCAAUGUAUUUAUUUAUCUAUUUGGAUAGGAGGCAGUAUUCUUAAUUGCAAUUUUCCCUCGUGCUAAUUCGCAUUUGCUUUACCCACAGGUCACCCUAUAACCCUGUUCUGAGUCUGCCAUUUGACAGGGUAACAGCAGUUGUUAAAACUCUUCUGGACCCUGAUGCUGAACUACCAAUUUAUUAGAUUAGAACUACCAACUGUUAUUAGAUUGGAGUAUUCUAGAGCCACAGCGAUCCAUGUACCAGUGUACCAAAAAAAUUGUACUUGUGGCGGGUAAUGUUGUAUUAAAGUAUGAUAUUAUACAUUCCUUAAUUUAGAGAUCAGGAUUUUUUUUCUCCUGUUAGCAGAAUUCUCAGAAUCAUUUAGUCCCUCCACUGGGAAAAGCAUUUUGUAUAAAGUUUUGACACUUGAAAAGUGAAAAUGGUAAGCUUUCCUGAUCAUCAUCGUGUGAUAGUGCUGGAUUUCUGCAUCACUGACCUUUGAAUGCAUCUCUCCACCAAGCUCUGCAGAUAACCUGCAGAUUAUCAGCUUUCGUUCAGUCUUCCUACUGUCUUUCCUUUCAUUCUUGAUGAGUCUGCGACAUUUGGAGUCAAGUCAUGCAAAUGUUUUUUGUGCUGUUAAGAAAUUACCAAUCCAAGAAUACCCAAACAAGUCUUCUCUAUUAGAUUUGCCCAUGUUGAGAUCAAUUGAAUAGCCCCCUUGUGUCUUCUCAUUCUGUAGGUGGGAGGCUUUCAUAGGAUUCCCAGAGAACUACAAUUAUAGACAGCAGGGGAGUCAACAUCAACAGGACGAAGUGGAUUUGGACUCUCACUACAGCUUAAGAUCUUCAUAUGGUUUUAUAUGCCAGUGCCACUAUGGAAAACAGGAGCAGAAAAGCCUCCAGAAAAAAAGACAAUCAAAACCAGAUGAAUGCAGCAGUGGCAACAACUUGGCCUUCAGCUCACUUGUGGAUGGUCACCAAGGCUGGGGUUAUCCUGAGCAGGGCUCUGCCACAGCUCUGCCUGGCAGUUGGUGGGUAGCCAAUACCAUUAACAAAUGAGGAUGGAUCUUUAGAAGCAUAUAAGCUAAGCAUACAGAAAAGGGUCAGAGGCAGACCAUAUCAGCAGUGGCGCUUUGGAAAAGAUGGACAGAUAUUUUCAAGGGCCUACUCCGAGUUUGUCCUGACCUACCUGGAGGAGCUAAAUGUAAGAGAGGAGGUGACCCAGACAGAGAAGCACAAUCACCAUGGGGCCUGGUCUUCAGAACAUCAGGAGACAGAGGAUUCAGGAUACAAUGUCAGUGACACCAAUCAAAAACAAGUUCCAAGACCCAUAGACGCCCAGUCAAUGCCACCAGGAGCCCUAAGGGAGAGCAUCCAGCUGACAGUGGCACUGGUGAGGAAACUAGAAGACAAACACCCCAAGGCCUCAGCUCAAAAGUAGGCCACUGACAGAACUGAUGAUUAUUGUUCAAUGACAUUAGAUGUUUUCCUUCAGUUUCAUGUAAGAUUGCUUUCCCAGAUAUUUUUGAAAUAUCUCAAUCCCUCAAGCUCACACAGGCACCGAUUUUUUUUUUUUUUUUUUUUUUUUUUUUAGCAAAAUAAAACAAAUAGAAAGAAAAUAAUGAGAUGGUGGUUUUGUGUUAUUUUAUUUUUUUUAAACUCUUUACUGUAAGAAAUAUAGUUGAUGGUGUUAAUGAACAUAGUACACACACACAGUACACACAAUUUUAAAGUUAUCCACAAUAGGGGUUAAGGCAGAAGUUUUACCGUACUCAUUAUUUUGUCAAAUUUGCCAUUGAUUGUAGAUUAUUAUUUUGAUAUCUCUGUUGGAAAAACAGACCAAACAACCAGUGAUAAAUAUGACCCAAUCCAUUUCUUUUGAAAUUGCUACUACUACUACUAAUAAUAAUAAUAAUAAUAAUAAUAAUAAUGGUAUUUCUUCAGUGCUUUUGUUUUCUUAAAUUUUUACCCUUUUGCAUCUGCAUUUGUGUGAUACAAUUAAAGUUGGGUUAUGUUAUUUAUGUUUUUGUGCCUUUUCAUAGCUUUUGCAUCUUAAUGCAAUUUAACAUUGGUCACUUCACGUUUCAUUUAAACCCCAUACAAAAUCAAAGAUCAACAAGUAACACAUUUGUAACCUUGCAUGCCAGUUGCAGAUGUGUACGCACAAAAGAUGAAUAGUUUUGUUUAAUGGCUGUGUAACUUAAUCAAAGUACUUCCACAGAGCAAUGGUUUGCUGUUUAAAAAUGACAAAUGCUCUAUGUCCAAUUUGUAACAGAAGCCAAUUGAAUUAUGUUUUAUCAGCUCUUGUGGCUCAUGUUCAUAUGCUCUAGUUAUCAUUCAAUCUUCUGGAAAGUCAUUGCAUUUUAUCUUGCUCUUAAUUGUAUUAAUACUUGUACUGUGAUUCUUGAAAUGUAUUUUUGUUUGUGACUGUAAGUCACCCUGGAUAAGGGUGUCUGCUAAGAAAUAAAUAAUAUAAAAUGUG